This 1456-nucleotide long non-coding RNA is filed under the name Mytilus galloprovincialis (Mediterranean mussel). The record is from RNAcentral. Lineage: Eukaryota; Metazoa; Mollusca; Bivalvia; Mytilida; Mytilidae.
CCCGCUGCAAGUGGAUAAUAUUAAUAGUGUAAAAAUAUACAAGUGUUCGGUAAACAGGAAGUUAUCGAGUGAUGACUCUGAAAACGAAUCACACGGUAUAGCUGACUUAUAUAAACCUUGAAACCAAAUUUCAGAAAUCCUUGUAUUAUAGUUCCUGAGAAAUUGUGACGAAAUUUUUUUACUUGGCUAUCAUGUUUAAAAUCAUACAAGUGUUCGGUAAACAGGAAGUUGGCGAGUGAUGAAUCUGAAAACGCAUCACACGGUAUAGCUGACUUAUAUCAAGAAGCCUGAAACCAAAUUUCAGAAAUCCUAAUAGUGUAGUUCCUGAGAAAAAUGUGACGAAAAUUUUUCAACUUGGCUAUCAUGUUUAAAAUCAUACAAGUGUUCGGUAAACAGGAAGUUGUCGAGUGAUGAAUCUGAAAACGCAUCACACGGUAUAGCUGACUUAUAUCAAGUCUGAAACCAAAUAUCAGAAAUCCUGGUAGUGCAGUUCCUGAGAAAAAUGUGACGAAAAAUUUUCAACUUGGCUAUCAGGUGUAAAAAUGAUACAAGUGUUCAGUAAACAGGAAGUUGUCGAGUGAUGAAUCUGAAAACGCAUCACACAGUAUAGCUGACUUAUAUCAAGCCUGAAACAAAUUUCAGAAAUCCUGGUAGUGUAGUUCCUGAGAAAAAUGUGACGAAAAAUAUUCAUGGGACGGACGGACUGACCGACAGACUGACGGACUGAUGGACUGACGGAAGGACAGACAGAAUAAAACAGUAUACCCCCCUUUUUUUCAAAGCGGGGGUAUAAAAACCUUUCUGUGUUAUGUGUGGUUGGGGUCUUAAAUAAUAAACCUGAUGCAUUCAAUUCUGGAACAGCCCUAUUUAGUUUAUAUAUUUUUUUUGAAAUCAGCUUCAAGUUUAAAAACCAAUACUGACAUUUCAUAUGUAUUAACUAUUAAAGCAAAAAUGUCCAUUAAUAUCAUUGUGAAUUUAUGCAUCCAGUUAAAAAAAUAAGUAUAGUAUAUGUAACACUAAUGUGUGAAAAAUUGUAAAAUGAAGUUUGUUUUCAUGUUUUAAUGAUUACAAAAAUGUAUUUACAUAUGAUGCAGCACCAAACAUUUACAAUGACAUAAAAUACAAUGUGCACAACAUUACAACUAAUUAUUACAACUAUAUUUUAAUGAAUUCUCACUAAUUUUUCAUGUCAUCAAAUUGGAAUUUUCUUUGAAAAACAAUUUAUCCUAAAUUCUUCAUAGCAUGGUCAUCAAUUUAUAAGGUUCUAAAAAAGUACAAAUAUAUUACACUGUAUCCUAUCCUAUUUAAGAACACAUUAUUUUUGAAAAUUCAAGUUGACGAAAUAAAUGCUUCACUGACAGUCUGAUACGAUAUGAGCUAUGAACAUGGUUACAAUGACAUGAUAAAAUGAAUGAAUUACAAUGGUCAGAUCUCAGCAAUACGAUUCUUUAUAAGA